Molecule: transfer RNA, 61 nt
Filed under: Ornithodoros sonrai
Lineage: Eukaryota; Metazoa; Arthropoda; Arachnida; Ixodida; Argasidae
Description: tRNA-Ser
Source: RNAcentral
GACAUUUUAACUAUAUUAAGUAUAUAUUUUGAAAAUAUAAAAAAGGUUAGCCUAAAUGUCU